GAGGAUUCCUGCGAGAUUUUGUGCUGAUUGCCCACGACAUUAAAAAGAGAGCAUUCUAACCAUUGCCUUUUUGUUGUGAAUGCAGACCAGAGAAGACACUACACAGAGGUCACAUUGGUGCCGUGACUCCUUCGUGACGCUGCUGAAUCGGGCUGGUGUCCUCUCGUCGCAGCAUCAUCGUGGAGCAUCAGCUUCCUUAUUGUUUAGUCUGUUGGGUAACGGAAUCAAACUUUGGGGACUGUUGGACAUACUUUUAUAUUGGCUUUGUAUAUUGCCAUAUUGUAUUAAGUCCACCUUAGCUCUAUUAAUAUUCUGCUAGAUAUGGAUCUAAGUGACUCUGAU
Molecule: non-coding RNA, 342 nt
Organism: Maylandia zebra (zebra mbuna)
Lineage: Eukaryota; Metazoa; Chordata; Actinopteri; Cichliformes; Cichlidae
Source: RefSeq, a predicted model, not a curated record